CCAGCAUAUGGAGAUUCUCAGGCUUGGGGUCCAAUUGGAGCUGUAGCCGCCGGCCUAUGCCAGAGCCACAGCAACGAGGGAUCCAAGCCAUGUCUGCAACCUACACCACAGCUCACAGCAACGCCGGAUCCGUAACCCAUUGAGCAAGGCCAGGGAUCAAACCCGAAACCUCAUGGUUCCUAGUCGGAUUCAUUAACCACUGAGCCAUGAUGGGAACUCUAAGAGGAUCAUAUUUUUAAAACUUGAUUUGAGUUUCCAUUUUUCUGCCUUAGUCAUUCAGUGUAAAAUACUUUCUCAUGAAUACAUGAACCUCUUUCACAGGAAUUGCUUGGCAAACUGUAGGAAAGAAAGAAAAGAGUUUUAUUCAUGAACUACAAGAACAGAAAGCAUUUGAAUAAUAAAAUGUUAUCAUCCUUAAGUAAAAACUUGUUAUAGAAGAAGUAAACUAGAUUUAUUUAUUCUACUGUUUUCUAAAAAUAAUAUGUGAUUUUGGUGGUGAGAUAGUUUCUCUAAAAUGCCUAUGAUAUUUUUACUACCAUUGCUGACUUUUUGCCUCAGUAUAUUUGUUUCCUCAUAUAUUAGGUUAUUAAUAUUAAAUUGCCAAACAAAUUUUAUAUACAACUUUUUUCAGUUUACUUCUUCUUUUUUUUUUUUUUUUUUUUUUUGCCAUUUUUUGGGCCCCUCCCGCGGCAUAUGGAGGUUCCCAGGCUAGGGGUCAAAUCGGAGCUGUAGCCUCCAGCCUACGCCAGAGCCACAGCAACGUGGGAUCCGAGCCGCAUCUGCAACCUACACAACAGCUCACAGCAACGCUGGAUCCUUAACCCACUGAGCAAGGGCAGGGACCGAACCCGCAACCUCAUGGUUCCUAGUUGGAUUCGUUAACCACUGCGCCACGACGGGAACUCCUCAGUUUACUUCUUAAAUAUUUAGGCAAAAUCAUAUCAUAUCUGUCGCAACUACUCUAUACAAUAGAAAUUAUAUGGAAAGCAUUGAACUGAAAGAAAAGGACCCUAAAUUUAAAUUAUAAUCACAAUGUAAAUUGUUAUUAAUUCCAUUUGGAAUAUAAUAUGAUAGUUGUGAAAAUUAUAAAGCAUACAAUAUUUCCAUCUGAAAACAUUCUCUUGAAUUUAUAAAAGCUACAUUAAAAAUUCAUCGAAUUGCAUAUUUAUUUUUUUCAUUAUGCUUUUCUAAAUUUCAACUUUUAUAAAGUAUAAAAUGCUUUUCUUCUUAAUUUUAAAAAAUUAGCAUUAUUGAAAAAAAUCCAACAAGCAAAUCCUCUACAAUAUCUCUGCUGCCUUGCAAUCUUCAGCAACAAAAAAAUUCAAAUUCACGGGAGUUCCCAUCAUGGCGCAGCAGUAGCAAACCUGACUGGUAUCCAUGAGGACUCGGGUUCCAUCCCUGGCCUUGCUCAGCGGCUCAGGGAUCCAGCAUUGCCGUGGGCUGUGGUGUAGGUUGCAGAUGCGUCUUGGAUUCCACGUUGCUGUGGCUGUGAUGUAGACCAGCAGCUGUAGCUCCAAUUGGACCCCUAGGUUGGUAACUUCCAUGUGCCCUGAGUGUGGUCGUAAAAAAAAAAAAAAAAAAAACUUGCAUUCGCAUUCAAUAAGGCCACCAGACUUCCAUUUCUGAUAGGCUACUGGGCUGCAUUAUACAUGUGUUUUUUCCAUGUUCAAGAUAUUUAGUAAUAAUAGAAACACAUCUCCCACUUUAGGUGCCUUACUCGAAUUGGUGGUAAAAUUUGAAACACAUCCCCUGAUCUUUAAUUGUACCCAAUUGCACAAGUCUUCCUUUGCUACCAUCUGAAUAACAGGCUCUCUUCAACUUUUCCGAUUCUCCUCUGAACAGUUGCUUCGAUCAGUGGUGCUACCAUACAACAGAAUCCACAUAAAAUCUGAAUCGAUGGCGAGCUUAUCUCAGUUUCAUAUACCUUUACAUUUAUCCCUCCAUCAUAAGAUUUCUAAAGAAUAUAAAAUCGGAACUCACCCCCAACUUGAAACUGUCCUCACAUUUACUAGUAUUCGAAUAACUUGAAAAUAAAUAUUUAGCAAGGAAUUUUGCUUAUAACAAGUUAUAGAAAACACAAAUAAAUAGCCAUUCAUUUUGGUCUUUGGUUUUUGUUCUAUUUUAACUCUUCUGUAGUGGCCCAUUUUCAAUUCCCAUUCUAAAAAUUGAGCAGCAAAGUGUAGAUAUCUCGUGUCCAUUUUAAAGGAAGAAACGACUUGGCUUACUCUCUUACUAUCAAUUGUCUUGUAAUUUCAUCAAUGGAUGCUGACUUUGCUGCUUGGUACACUUAUGAAAAUGGCAGAAAUUCUCUUUUUAUACAGACUGCCCUCACUUGUCACUAUUAUCAAUGCACAAUCCUCUGCAAGUAGCUGGUAUCCAGAAGAACUUUCCAUAUCUUUCCACUGCAUCAAAUCCCCAUCAUUUUCUAAUCACACAUGAGAGCAUCUUUUUUUCUAUCUCGGCUAUUAAACUUUCUUUUCUUCUGUUCAUAUUUAAUUCCAAUAUUAUUUUAACUAUGAAAUGUUGGCAGUUGUUGCAUACAUAUAUAAAGCUAUGUAAAUGAAGCAUUAUUUUGUGGGUAAUACAUGAGAAUAACUGUGCAGUAGCUGUGCAGCCAAACCAGAGAUGUGUGUAACGGCACGCCAUCCAGAAGGACUGGGAGUGUCCACUCUGCCUAACUUCUGAUCCACAUCUCCACUCUGAAAGGCUCCUUUACCUGUAUAAGUGAACGUUACUGAAUGACAAAAAGUUAUUUUGAGAAUAAACACAGAUAUUCAAAAAGAAAGUGCUUGUCAUACACCAUUGCCCAAACCAAAGAACUCUCUUCUACCAACAAAAGAGUUUAACAACGCUGUCAACUCUUUUGUUAUUAUGCUAAACCACUUCUGUUGCUUUCUAAUGGGUCAGUGAAAAUUACUUUCAUUUCUACAUAGCCUGCAAAUACAAGCUCCUCUUUACAAAUGAGACACCAGCUAUUGACCUCAAAAGGAUAGCAUCCUGAGAGUUCUGAAAUAGAUAUUUUUCUCAUGUUAAUGAUAGGAGACCUAGAUUUCUGAUUGAUCCCAGGCUUUAGUGAAAAGAGACAUUCGUAUAGAUAUAUGAGGACGUAUGAGAUGUUGAAUUAAGUAUUUCAACAUAAAUCUGUGUUUGCUGUCUUAUGCUAGAAAUUCUUAUCCCUUUACUUAUAUGGGUGCCAUAAAUUUUGCUUUGAAAUGCCCAGGUACUCUCUUUUUCAUACAUAUGAGGUCAUUAUUGAUUGGCUUAGGAAAUGGACUCCAGAGUGUUCAUUUAAACGCCAUUCCCUUAGGAAAUUAAUAUUUUUCAUAACAAUAAUAAAAAUAAAAAUAAAAUAUUUUAAAGACAGAGUUGUAUGUUUCCUCUCCUGUCCCCUGGAAGUCUCUUAAGCAUAGCCUAAUAGCUGGCUUUAGGGGAAAAAAAAAAAAAAUUAAGACACCUUGGGUCAAAAAAAAAAUCAAUUUUGGAAGUAGUUAUAUCAAUUUCCUUGGCAGAGUUGCUGAAUAGAGUUUUUAUUGACUGUGAAUCUAAGUUACUAAGAAAAAUUAGUGAUAUUAGCAAAUGGUUGUACCAUGCAGAUGCCUAAGAGAGGCUAACAAUGUCUCAUCUUUCAGAGAAUGGACCUAAAAUACAUCUUUAAUCAGUAUGAAAUGAUAUGCAUUGUCUCCUCUUUUUUUUUUUUAGGGCCACACUCGCGGCACAUGGAGGUGCCCAGGCUAGGGGAUGAAUCAGAGCUAGAGCUGCUGGCCUAUGCCACAGCCACAGCAAUGCAGGAUCCAAUCCACAUCUGCAACCUACACCACAGCUCAUGGCAAAGCUGGAUCCUUAACCCAUUGAGUGAGGGCAGGGAUUGAACCUGCAACUUCAUGGCUCCUAGUCAGAUUCAUUUCUGCUGCGCUAUGACAGGAACUCCAUUGACUUAAAAAUUUAUUCAAAUUCUUCACCACUAGCCUGUGUUUAAGUUAUUUUUCUUCAUUAAAAAAAGAAAAGAAAAAGAUCUGGGAUUACUACGUUAAGAACUUAAAUAAAAUUGUCUUUUUUCUUCUCAUUUCACCAACUAUAUGCUGAUAUUGACUUGACCCAGUAGAUUUCCUCUGAGACUUUUAUGCUUUGGUCCUUUAUAUAUGAGAACCUAAGUACUGAGUAAAUUUUAUUCCUUGAAAUUACUUUGCUUACCAUUCAUUAUUCUCCAUUAAUUUAUUUGGCCCUGUCAAUGUGCCUUUUGAUGGCAUAUCUUUUUGUGUUAUCAGUCUCCACCACAUGGACAUUUUUUAUUAUUCUUUAUUCUUUUUUGUUACCCACUCUUCCAAAAUUAUUUUCAUUCAUUUUCUGAAUUUCCAAAGUUUGCUGUCAAAUCCUCCACAAAGACAUUCUUUCAGGAAAGCAAAUGUUUUCUGUUGAACAUGUAAGGACAUUCUCUUCAAAUUGCUUCCAAAAUAUCUAACAUGCCAGUCAAUCUGUUGCUCACUCUAAGGCCAGGGCUUGCUGUCUUAACAAGUUCGACCCCUUGGUUCCUCCUCCAUUGACUGACUCCUCACUAUACUUCCAAUAGAGCACGAAGCUUCUUACUAUGAAAUGCUCGGCAGUUCAAAACAUGACAUGUUAUUAGACCUGACUUGCAUUGGGCAAUCAUUCCUGUUUGCAUCUUCAUUUCCGUAGUUUACUGUUUGUAACCUCUUCAAAUUAUGAGCACUCCAGGCCAUAUUUCCAUGUGCUGUUUCUGACACAUGGAAUGCCCUCCCUAAACUCCAUCCUCAACAAUCACUCCAUGAUUUUCUAAUUAAUUUAUAUGGGUUAUCUUCUACUCGAAGGUCACUAGCUCUCAGCUACCUUAACAAUUCUUCCCCACAAUUACUCCACUCUUUGUAAGCCUGCAGCAAUGUGUAUAUAUGCCUAUUAUGCUACCUGUAAUUUUGACUUCCCCCAUGCCACAUGUUGUUCCCUCAUUCAUUGUGACUGAUUAAAUCACUUUUUAUAUUGCUUCAGCAGCGAGUAAUCCAGAAUAAUUGCUCAAUUCUCGGUGGAGGGUAGGAAUCUGGCAUCACUGGUAGACCAUGAGCUCUGCUGCCAAGUCCUAGUUCCUACUUCCUUUCUUCCUUCAGCAAAUAAAUUUUGAGUGAAAUUUUAUGAAGACUAUUUCUCCUAGAAUUGUGGGAUUGCAUAACCCUUUUAUACCACCUUACAUCCUUUCCCCCGUAGCAUUAAUGUUUACUCCUUCUAGUGGUUACUUUGAUAACUUUAAUAUGAAAAUAGCUUUACUUUUAGAUUCAUCUGUAGACCAAAUUCUUAACCCCUUCCAGUGAAAAAUAAGGAUGACUGACCCCCUUUCUUUACCUGUAACUUUGCUUUCCUUCUUUCAACUGUCAAAUUCCGCCAUAUUGCCUUCCUUUUAUUGAGAAGAAUGGCAUUUAUGUGCCAUACUGUAAAGCAUAAUUAUGUCCCUCAACAUAUUUUGCUACAAAAUUUCAAUGGAUAUGUUUUUAUGACUAUGUAAAUAUUGUACACCACACAACCAAUAAUGUAGUAUACUUGCAUUUCUUUUUGCAUACCGAAUUACCAUUUUGCUUUGUUUUGUUGGAUUCUGUGUCAUUCAUUUUGUUUUGUUCUGGAGUUUAUACUUGCCACCAUCUUUCUUAUAUUGCUCCCCAAAAUUGUUCCAAGUUCCCAUAGACACUAUGAAAUCUCUGGGACUCUCCUUUUUCCUCAGAACUACCUCCCUAGUCCUGAUCCCAUUUGGACUCUGCUCUCCAGGUCUACUGCACCACUGAUAUCUUGAGUCAAUGCUUCAACACAUUCCUAGAUUCUAUGUCUUCCUCUUUCGUGGUUUAAAUGCUUAGAGUCUAUCCCCCUGUAGCUUUUAAAGAAAGAGAAAUAAAUCUGCACGCCUUCCAAAUAUGAAAAUAUAUCUUUUCUAGCUUCAAGCUUUAUAGAGAAAUUAGCGGGUUAUGUAAUUCUAGAUUAAAAUAAUUAUUCUCAAACUUUCAAAGGUACUGCUGUAUUAAUUUCUAACAUCCAGUUAUACAGAUGUGCAGUUGAUGCUAAUGUGUUUUUUGUUGCUUUAGACAUGAAAUAUUUGUUUCUUUUAAGAAGCUUUUGAAGUCAUUACAUUCUCUUUGGUGUAUGAAAACUUCACAAUUAUGGGUCCAGUUUUUUUUCUUCCACACAUUAUGCUGGGCAUUGAUCCUUCUGUUUAAAGAAACUGUCUUUUAUUGUGUCUGUGAUGGUGCUAUUAGUUGGAUGUUGGCCCACCUGUAUUGAUUUUAUAUAUAUUUUAUCUCAUUUAAUAUUUUCAUUCUCUUUGCCCUUUUAAUCUACUUCCUGAGCAAUUUCCUUGCCUUUGUCAAAGCUUAUAUUAAAAUUCUAAUUUCUGUGAUCAUAUUGCAUUUCCAAGUUAUUUGCAUUUAGAUCCACCAGUUUGACUAAAUAAUAAUAAAAAAAUCAAUCUAGUUAAGUGUGACUAUGAAGUUAUAAUGAAGUAUUGUGAUAUUUAAUAUUGUAUAAGAAAAUUUCUCAGCUUAAAGUAUAAGUAGAAUCAUCAUCAACCAUACCGAUUAUUCUUUAAUUUGAUAUUACCAAACAGCAAUAAACUAACAAGGGAAAAAUAAAAUCAGAAUAGUUUAGCCUUACAAUCAGAAUUUUAAUGCAUAAAAUAUACUGGGACUGUGUUUCUUCUCCCAAAUUUAUUUUCUUCAUCUCAAAAAUGAAAAUUGAAUAUUCCAUUGCCCAUAACUUAUGGAAAAAUUAAUUUAUUCAUAUUUAUGAGAAAUAAAAAAAUAAUUUAUUCAUCUUUAUUUCACUUGAGCUAUAUUGUUAUAUAAUACCAAGCUCAUUAAACUUUGUAAAUCUCAUAUGUACCAGCCCAGUGCCUCUGUUUGGAUAUCGAACUAAUAUUAAGUAAGAAAAGAUUUUAAAAUUCUUAUGACUUUGGAGCUAAAAUUCUCAUAUUUCAUUCUGUAGGUAUGUGUAUCCAUUUUACACUUAACAGUAAGAAAUCCACUCAAAUCUACCUCUGCUGUAUAGUUUACAUUGUACCUGUUUAAAAAUUUGCUCUUUCUAAAGAAGAUUUUAAGGAUGUGAAACCAGAGAAACAAAAGAACCUCGACUGGAUUAUAAUUCGAGCCAGGUGCCCAAAAGUCGACACAGACUUUUUUUUUAAUUAUAUUCAGAGCAAAAACAGAUA
This 7195-nucleotide long non-coding RNA is filed under the name Sus scrofa (pig). RNAcentral describes it as "lncRNA (ENSSSCG00015013666.1)". Lineage: Eukaryota; Metazoa; Chordata; Mammalia; Artiodactyla; Suidae. The record is from RNAcentral.